UUUCAACUUUUUUUUACAUUUGUCAAACAAGAUUUCAACUUAAAAUUGUUUGGUUUUGCCUUCAUGUACAUUGGGCAUUAGUGCUUUUGUCUUUCUCCCGGUUUCAUCUUUGGGACGAGUCAUAAAUUAUGCAGGGCAACCACUGAAAGUCAGUGAGGCCUCGUUUACUCUGCGCAAUAUGGCACAGACGUGGCAACAGUUCUUCGAGCUGGUCAAAAACCUGAACUUUACCAGACUCAAAACGGAGAGUGCGCAAUGCGACAAACGGCGAUCCGAGUACAGAGACCGGAACGAGCAGCGACCAAGCCUGCUGCAGCCGAAGCAUAAGGAAAACUGCUCGGACAAAGAAACUUAAUAAGAAACUCGCUGUCCACUUUGAUACGACCCAGUUGCAGCACCUAGAAGUUAAUAAGCCGCGCUACGUAUCGAGCACUCACUUGCGACUGCCGUCCGCAGCCAAAAAGGCAGCUGCCCUAAAACAAUCAACAAUAUCCGGCAUGAAGCAAAACAAUAUGAGCCCGAAUAGAGUCCUAAAAGAGGGCGCCAAGGCUCAUAAAUAAACCAACAAUGAUCGAAAAGUCCUCGAACCUUCGGCUAUUUUAGUGCUACGAACUGAGUCGAAGGCUGCCGGAAAGCAGCUCAGACUGAACAGAGACAAUGGUCUCUUACAGGGCUUACAGGGUAUCAAUCAGUUGGUCAAUGCUUACCUACUCAUACCCACAGCAGCACGCAUUAAUUAUGUCAAUUCCAGAGUUUUUCUUUCAGUGUGCAGCCUCCUCCUUUUCCUCCUGCUUGUAGCUGUCAACUGAUAAUGAAACCUUAGCACUGUUGCUUUGAUCUGAUGCACAGGUGUAGCAAGCUCACACACCCACACACAGAGAGUGUGCAUGUGUGUGCUGUACACACACUCAUUGAAUUUGGUCGUCAACAAAUGACAAAACGCAAAUAGCGCUCAACCCCCGGCGCACUGCCAAUACCACCAAUUAUGCUAGGCAGGAGGUGUUGGGCAACUGGGGCUAUUAGCGCCCAGUGGAAGCCAACAUUCUAAUGAGUUGCCUGGCAGCCGUUGGUCGUUGCUGAAAUGCGAGUGCUGAAAUGUUUUCCUUCUCUGUUAUUUUGACGCCUCUGCUUGAGCCCAACGUGUGGCAGGGGGCAGGGGAUGGGCAAAUAGCGC
This is an RNA transcript of Drosophila hydei, 1174 nucleotides long. RefSeq lists it as uncharacterized. The transcript has 3 exons. The record is from RefSeq and is a predicted model, not a curated record. NCBI's taxonomy places the organism in Eukaryota, Metazoa, Arthropoda, Insecta, Diptera, Drosophilidae.